UAGCUGAUGCAGUCUACAUUCUGAUCUCUGAAAGUCCUUUAUAACUAGAACUUGGGAUGAUAUUUAUGCUGUAAUAAUAAUUGACAACUGAGCUAUAUAUUCCUCACAUACUUUCAUUUCAAUGCCAAACAAACUGAAUGAUGAGGAUAUAUUGACAUAUUUAUUAAUAAAAAUAUAAUGUCCUGUGAAUAGUUAUUGAAUAAAGAUUUCUACAUAUUAUGAUGGCCCAACAGUUUUCUUACAUUGUCUUUAAAAAACUUGCCUUGUUCUAUAUCAUUGUGAAGUAGUCACUGUAUAGCAUCAUGAGCAAACCUGUUUAUAAAUAUGAACACUGCACAAAGGAGCUCUAUAAACUGUUCUGCCAGGUAGCAGGUGUUUAUGACUUGCUGUAUUUAAAAUAUAUUGUUUUUAAAAACUUAAAUUGUUAAUGAUUUCUUUAAAAAUGGCUUGCUUGCUUGGAGAAAAGUGAUUGGUUAUGAACAUUAUUAGUCUGGUUUUAGAUACUGUCUGCAAACGGCCCCAUGACUUGAUUUAGUCAGAGCUGGCCACAUCAUGCAGUUGUGACAGAGGAUAAUUUCCUCUAGUGCAUGUCAUGCAUGAUGAGUUUGGUGAAAGUAUUAUUAGAAGGUGUGUUUUUCUUGAAAUGUUCUACUGUUACAGUGAAGGUGUAAGAUACAGUGUUAUUUGUAAACAACUCAAGUGUAAUGUCUGCAAUACACCACACAGAAGCAUAAUCACUGUCAAAAUGACAAGACAACAUCACAGAAAGCGGCGGCUGGAAUUGACUGAGGUGACAAUCUGGUUCUGAAACUGUUUUGCUCUGAUUGCAUAUUCAUGAUUCCUUUCUAUAAUAUGUUACAGUUACUGUGUGAGUCUUCUAAGCAGACAUUUUAACAUGACUAGACUGACACCUCACACUUUGAGAUUUGAAAGCCUAAUCUUCAACACUGCUCCUUCCACCUUUUUCCCCCAAGGUCUAAAUCUUGACUUGCAGGUUUAGUUAUGAGAUACAUCCACGUGCAGGAGUGCAGGAGUACAACAAACUGUGGCACCCGUGCUGCUGCACCAGGGAUGGUGAUUUACUGGUACAGCAGGACCCUGGUCUGACACCACACAGCCGACCCAACACGUACCCAUCAGUGACUGCUGAACACUCAUGAGUGUAGCUGCAAUGGGGAGCUGAGGUUAGAAUAAUUUAUCAAAAGCUGAAGUUCUAUGUAACAACAUUCCUGAAGACUUUCCAGAUUGUAUCAAUACGUAGCCAGUGGUCCAGAAGGGAAAUGACUAAGAGGAAUUUAUGAAACGUGCAAAAAGACAGAUAAAUGAAUUGCACUUUUAUUUCAUAUUAAUUCUCUCCUUUUUCUCAUCUCCCUGUUAACUGUACACAGAAAAGUUUUAACUUGAUCUCAACGCAAAAGUAGAAAAGGUGGAUUUUAUAAUUAAAAAUAACUUGUGCAAUCAAGAACUACUAGUUCCUAUCCCCUACCAUUAAUGAAGAAUGGAAAUAUAUACUAUAGGAUGUAAUUCAUGUCUCAAAGGCAUCCCAAAUGAAUCCCAAAUUUACUGUUGCUUUGUCCAAUUACCACCUUACAUCUGACCUUUCUCAAAUUUUUCAGUCUUUCCACCAUUUUAUUAGGUGCUACUGCCCAUGUUUUCAUGGCAGAAAACACAGAAAUCUUACAUUGGCUAAUCUUUCUCUCCAUGCAGUUCACAGCUAAAGGCCAUCAUGCAACACAGUCAUAUGGAUUUGAGUAUUUUUUGAGUUAAAUAUGCUUCUGAGUGAAAGAAGAGAGGGGCCUCUCUCUGCAGAGUGGACAAUCUUGCAAAGAGCUGCGUAGACAGCUGAAAGCUGACUUUUAUGCCUGAGGGACAGUGACCAGGAUAACAGGCCAAUUUCCUUUUGCUCUCCUUGUAUAGAACAUCUGUGUUUGUUCAACUCAUUGAGGAUGAAAAUGUUGCAUGAGUGGAGUAUCUGCUGUAUCCAAGAUUAAAGAAAGAGGUCAUGGUAUUUUGACAAAGCUAGUCAACAGCAAACCUAGACUUUUCAGACUAGCUCACCUGAAUUUAAGGUAUUUGCAGUGAGUCAACCAGACAGAGAACAUUGUUGAGUCUGGUCCUUUAAUGGGGAAUAAUUCACAUUGCAACUUCUUAGACUGUUGUCAGCAUUUCUGCAGUACUGAAUCAGCCUGAAGCAGCUGCUGUAAAAGUAUCCAACCUACCAGAAAGUGCAUUUUGAUGUCUUCCUAAAUGGGAGCUUCCAUUUAAAAGCUUGGGUAGGAAUACCAAAGGCUGGUCCCUUCAUGAGGUGGCAUGUGACCUUCCAAGUGUCUCCAUGCCCUUCCCAACUCCCAGACCCACCAGCAGCUAAAUAGGAAGAGUGAAAUCACCCAAGGCAGAGCUGAUCAAGCCUUGCUGUUGUCAGGGGGAAGGCACAAAGUACUUUUCAGUCUGCUUACCCUCUGCUGCAGAGACCUGCCUCAUCUUUUGCAGGUGCUGUGAAUCCUCAGAGAGCUCUGGGUCCAGCUGACACCUCUCUUGUUCACACAAACCAGAGUGAUGCUGUGCCACAGCCUGCUGCAGUAACUCUUCCACCAGGUGAGGGGGCAGACAGCCCCUCAUAAUCCCACUGCUGACCUUGUUAAAAACAUAAGUUCUCUUUCAUUACGCACGGCCCAGAAAAUAUUUGUGAUCAUGCAAAUUUUGGAAGGGGUGUCAAAAAGGAAGAUAAUUUUUGUAAGACGAAGAAAAAGUUUUGCAAUUCCACUGCUUUUUAAGAUGUCAUACAUUUGCACAAAGCCUUGUAAAUUUUCUAAUUAUACCUGUAAAGUUUCUUCUGUUAGUGCUAAUACCUUUAUCAAUUUUUAACAUACACUGGUGCUUUCUUGAAUACAAUAACAGCAACAACAACAACAGCAAACAUGGUAAAAUGCAGUUUGUUAAAAAUUGAAGUGUUUCAUGGAAAUUUUUCCUUAAAAAAAGUGAGAGAAAUUAAAGUCUUUGAGCACAUUUUCAGUUUUCUUAUGUCAAAGCAUUUAAUUAAUAUCAAAACAGUUUUUCUUCAAUUUAUAGAGUACAAUAAUGUGCUAUAUGUGUAUAAAAAUAAUGUUACUAGAUGUUAAGUGUAUCACCCUUAGAGUUUUAUAAUAAAAGGGGAACAAAAUGUUUUAAUGAUGUUGGCAAAUACUUAGAUAUUAUUGAAAUUAGUAUUUUGGUUUUUUAAUUUCAUGGUAAAUUUCUUUUUUCAUGGUAAAUAUAUUUUUUUUUUACUUUUGACUUGGAUAUGAAGUAAUAUAUUUCUACUAACUGCUAGGAAUGUCUUCAGAACACAAAUUUAAUAUUUAAUGAGUUUUCUUCACCUUUUUAUGGAGAAGUAGCAACACACAUUUUCCCACAAGAUGGCAGAGGUGAGUUGUGAAAUUUGUGGGCAAGGAUGUAUGGAGACGUGAAAAUCUGAAAAAAAAGAAGCUAGAAGCUUGAUAAAGCAACAAGAAUGAGGAUAUUAUGAAGCCACAGGGAAAAUUCCAGCUUAGAUUCACUUUUUGGUGACCAAACAGAGCAGCAUGUAUUUUAUUGUAAGAUUAUAUACCAUGACUUUCCGAUUGCAAGCCAAAAUUGGCUACAAGAUCUAAUUACAGUUAUCUAAGAUCUUAUUUUUCUUUUAAAUGAAGUGUUUUCAGAUACAGAUUUCACUCUCAAAUACAUAUUUUUGUAUUAAUAUGGCUGAAAAGUGUUCAUAUAUUGUCUGCUGUUAACUAAGUAGUAAGAAUCCACAAAUCAUUUUACAAAAAAAAAUUGAAAAGACAAUAAGGGAGAUUUAUCCCAUAUGUGGUGAUAAAUAUGUAUCAAAAACUGUAUUUUAUUAAUAAUAUUAAUUAAUAUUUAAUAUGCCACAUCACGUUAUACAUCUCACCCACAAUGAAAUUAAAACCGCUAUAAGUAAUGCAAUACUUUAGAGCAGAGCUGCCAUAAAUAUACAUGUUUAAUCAUGAGAGGAAAUAUCCAUCAUCAGUGGGCAUACAGUGAUCUUCCCUGAUCCUAACUGAGAAAUAGAAACGUUUUUCACACUACCUUCAUAAAAAUCCUGCAAUUCUUUUUAUUAUGAUUUAAUUAAAAAAAAAAUAAAAUAAAUAAAAGGCUGUGUUUUAUCCCUGUUUUGUACUAAGCAGACUGUGUGUCUGUCUCUCUGCAUACGUAUGUGUGUGUCCACACGUCCCCCAAUCUCCCCACCUAUUUCCAGCUUUCCCAUCCCUAUAUCCCAAAAGGAUGUUGGGGAAAAAAAACACCUGUAUGGGCGAUUAUGAAUACAACUUUACAUGGUAGUGGAAAGAAUGACCAUUUUGUGGAGACGUCGGUGCAGAGUGAGUGUCUCUCCGUGUGGUGGGAGAGCGCAGGAGACAAGCCCAGCUUGCUGUCUGCAUGGUUUAGGCCCUGCCUAAGUCACAGCUCUCUGCUGGGGAAUGUGGAUUUACUCGAGGUAACGUAAAGCCAAGAUUUGCAUGAGGAAAUGGCUCAUCCAAAUGGAUCCCAGCCCAAGUGAAGAACGGCCAUCCCAAAGCAUGGCUUGGCCCCAUCCAGCACACGCCGAUAAAGGAUCACACCUGGAUACUCGUGUCUUUCCAAAGCAUGAGAGGGGCAGCUGAGGGUGUCUGCUCCACGACGUGGCACGGAAUUCUGGCUGAGACAGACUCUUGCUGUUUUCUCCUGACAUUCUCGAGUUCCUACUUUGCAGCUUUCAGGUGGGUUUCCAGCAAGGUGGUAUCACCCUGCCUGCACAAGCAAGGAGAGUUAUCACACACCUCAAAGCCAGCAGUGCAGCAAACUUGGGAGGAGAGGACUGACUGUCUCAGCUGCUGUGGGGGGAAGCAGAAGACACAUGGUGGGCUGCAGGGGACAGGAAGAUCUUGCACUGAGUCUUCGUAUAAACUUAAGUUUCCCCGUCUGUCCCUCAACUGCUGUUACUCUUUGAGUGUUUGAAAGUACUGUGGUUUACAGAAAAGCAUGUUUUGAUGUCAAAACCGCUGUCUAAUUCAUCUCCCCACAGUUGAACAAAUAUGGAUGUUGCUUCCCUAAGGCCUUCAAAAAGAAAUUCCAGUGGGAAGGGCGUCCACAAGUCACCAAAAAUUUUCAGCCUUAAGUGUUUGAGUGCUUUUGCUAAUCUUUAGCAUAGCUUUCCUAAACAAUUAUUAUUUGUGUCCAUAAUUUGGAAUUUGGUUUGGAUUUUUUCACCUUUGACCAAGUUCUAAUCUUCUUUGCAAUUGCUACGUCAAUUGAAGGCUUUGAAAGCUGAUUUUUAUUUCCUGUAGUUUCUUGGUUUUGACUACAACAGCUUCUUUUACCUUCAUGAUAUUUUAUGGCUUUCCUGAUUUAUGCAAACUUUUGUUAUCUCCAUUUACUAAGAGGUAGAUUCCACCUCUGCUGAAAUCACCAAGGGCUGCACUAUUCUCACAAAUUAAAGUUAAAUAAAGUUGUGAACACCCUUAAGAUAAUUGAUGCAUCAUGUCAGUCUUACACUGGCAAAGGCAAAUAAGGUGCAGACUUUACUCUUGCAUCUUGGUAUCCUUUACUUAUAACUGCAAAUGAACAAAAGUGACUGUCAGGUAUUUUUAUGUUUUCAAAAUACUUUGUUGCAACACAGAUUGAGAUGACUUUGUUUGUUCAAGUGAAAGCUUACUUUACAGAUGUGUUUUUUGGCUCAUUACAGUUUCAGGUUGCCACUGUUUGGAUGUCUCAAAGAGGGAUGUGAGGAAUCCAAUUCCCAUAACACCACUGUAAUUAGUACAAAUCAGAUCCACAAAAGUAAAAUUCAACUUGGCUCCUGAAAUCAGUUGUCUGCAGGAACUACCAGAGAAGCUGAAAUUAAAAAGAAUUUGGCUAAAAUGUGUUCUCAGUUUGCUUCUGUAGUGGUAUUAUCUUUUUGAUGUAGGAUUUAUCUUAUCCAAAUACAGGUUUCCAAAUGGAAACCACUAGUGCUCAGUGGUAAAUAAGAAAUGUUCUUACCUUUUCCAAGUGCUCUCUACCACAUCCUGAAAAGUUUGAAAGUUUUACUUCUGUUGUGAGUUGAUUUAAACUCUGUUGACUGCACUGUCAUGGAAGGAAGACGCACUCAUAAAAAGUCACCAUAAAGUUUCAUUUGGAAACAUGUUUUUUAAAAAAAAUCUGUAUUUCUGACAAACUUGAUACCAUUACCACUUUGUGAAAGUCAAAGGAUGUAGGAAUAGGAAUGACUUUUGUGCUUUUAAAUUUUUCUAAUUGUGAAAAGAAAGUGUAGUUCACAUAUGGAAUUUCAGGUUGUUUGCACUGUCUCAGAAACAUAUGGUAGCUUGCAGUUAAGCACAACAGAGAAGUGGAAUUGGCAUGUUCUUCUUUCAAAUUUCUGGUGAGAAAGCUGGAUUACAAAUUAAAGGGAAUGGUAAUUAAAUGAAUAAUAUAAAAAUUGUUACUUUUAAAAUUCUCACAUGCAUGUACAAGAACAGAAAUUUCUUAGCUUUCCACAUUUUUUACACAUUGGAGAAUAAUAUUGUCUUGUAUGUAUUACUCUGUAACUCUCAAAAAAAGCAAUUACCCUGUAACUCCCAAAAAAGCAAUAUGCAGAAGUGUCAAUAAUUCAUGUUUGUAUAUCACUUGGUUUUGGAAAGAAGAAGUCGUAGUCUAGAAUGUAAGUCAGGUCCAAGUUGUAAAGAAAAUAAACAAAUUAAUUUAAAGCAG
This is a long non-coding RNA of Oenanthe melanoleuca, 6705 nucleotides long. RefSeq lists it as uncharacterized. The record is from RefSeq and is a predicted model, not a curated record. The transcript has 2 exons. NCBI's taxonomy places the organism in Eukaryota, Metazoa, Chordata, Aves, Passeriformes, Muscicapidae.